RNAcentral lists this long non-coding RNA (370 nucleotides) under Rattus norvegicus (Norway rat). RNAcentral describes it as "long non-coding RNA NONRATT000979". Lineage: Eukaryota; Metazoa; Chordata; Mammalia; Rodentia; Muridae. The record is from RNAcentral.
CAGGGACUGGAACACAGUGGUAACGCUCUUCUCCCAGGAUCACCCAUCUUUCAGUCUAGACCCAGCAGGACACGGUGCCAGUGACUGAGAAGGCUAAGUACUUGAAAAGGCAGCAGCUUUGGGCAGAGCCAUGAGCUACCAGAUCCUGAUACUCCUGGCCAUGCUGACCCUGGGCCUGGCUAUCUCUCAGCGCCGAGACCAAGUGCCCUGUAGGACGGUGAACAAGGAGGCCUUGUGCCACGGCCUCAGCCUGCUUCAGGUCCCCUCGGUGCUCUCAUUGGACAUCCAAGCUCUCUACUUGUCCGGGAACCGGCUGCAGAGCAUCCUGGUCUCCCCGUUGAGCUUCUAUACAGCACUUCGCCACCUGGAU